UGGAAAUGAUGUAGGAAUGAUGGUAGGGUUCAGAGCUGACGGCCAAGGAAGAAUUCUUGAAGGCGUCUUUGGUGCAAAAAGGUGAUUUUAUUAAAGCAGUGGGACAGGACCCGUGGGCAGAAACAGCUGUGCUCUAAGUGUGAGGGGUGAAUGUUUAUAUAUUAUGGAGUUGGGGGAGAUAAAGGCAAGAGGAAUUUCCCAAAGGGAUUUUCAUAUGUUAAAGGAGAUUCAUAAGAUAUGGGAGGCCUAGCUAUUACCAAGCUAAGGUUGUUUUCCCUCUAUAAGGCAUUAACAUUACGACAGGAGGGGGUUUCUGGGGAAGUGUUUUACCUGUAUUUGCCUGAAAUAUUUAUCAAUGGGCUGCAGGUAGUAAAGAAUUUUCACCUGCCAUUUCCUUCUUACCUUUGUUCCCACAUCGCUGUGGAGGGGAGGGUGAUAUUAGGGCUCCAGGAAACUGAAUCUAUAGGUUUCUGGAUUAGGCUAUGGAUAAGAUUGCCCCUCUCCUGUAA
Herpailurus yagouaroundi (jaguarundi) is the source of this 509-nucleotide long non-coding RNA. RefSeq lists it as uncharacterized. The transcript is spliced from 3 exons. NCBI's taxonomy places the organism in Eukaryota, Metazoa, Chordata, Mammalia, Carnivora, Felidae. The record is from RefSeq and is a predicted model, not a curated record.